AUGGAAAUGAUGACACCAGAGUUCUUGACUGUUAGUGAUGGUCUUUGUAUUCAUACUGUCUGAUCCAC
Hemibagrus wyckioides is the source of this 68-nucleotide small nucleolar RNA. The record is from RefSeq and is a predicted model, not a curated record. NCBI's taxonomy places the organism in Eukaryota, Metazoa, Chordata, Actinopteri, Siluriformes, Bagridae.